AUUGAACGCUGGCGGCAAGCUUAACACAUGCAAGUCGAGCGGAGUGAUGGUGCUUGCACUAUCACUCAGCGGAGGAGGGGUGAAUAAUGCUUAGUAACAUGCCUAUUAGUGGGGGACAACAUCUCGAAAGCGAGACUAAUACCUCAUAAGCUCAACGGGUAAAAGCAGGAGAUCACUAGAGACCGUGCGCUAAUUGAUGACUCCAAGAUGGAUUAACCAGUUGGUGGGGUAAAGGCCUACCAAGGCGACGAUCUGUAGCGGGUCUAGGAGGAUGGUCCGCCAAACUGGGACUGAGAUCCGGCCCAGAAUCCUACGGGAGGCAGCAGUGGGGAAUAUUGGACAAUGGGGGGAACCCUGAUCCAGCCAUGCCGCGUGUUUGAAGAAGGCCUUAUGGUUGUAAAGCACUUUAAGCGAGGAGGAGGCUCUUUUGGUUAAUACCCAAGAUGAGUGGACGUUACUCGCAGAAUAAGCACCGGCUAACUCUGUGCCAGCCGCCGCGGUAA
This 503-nucleotide ribosomal RNA is filed under the name uncultured bacterium. RNAcentral describes it as "partial 16S ribosomal RNA". It matches the Rfam family "Bacterial small subunit ribosomal RNA", at positions 30 to 523 of the family's 1533-position model. The record is from RNAcentral.